This 494-nucleotide ribosomal RNA is filed under the name uncultured bacterium. Its description in RNAcentral is "partial 16S ribosomal RNA". It matches the Rfam family "Bacterial small subunit ribosomal RNA", at positions 28 to 507 of the family's 1533-position model. The record is from RNAcentral.
GACGAACGCUGGCGGCGUGCUUAACACAUGCAAGUCGAACGGUGAAGCGCCUUCCUUUUUGGUGGGUGUGGAUGAGUGGCGAACGGGUGAGUAACACGUGAGUAACCUGCCCCCUUCUUCUGGAUAACCGCAUGAAAGUGUGGCUAAUACGGGAUAUUCUGGGUCUGUCGCAUGAUGGGUCUGGGAAAGAUAUUGUUUCGGUGGGGGAUGGGCUCGCGGCCUAUCAGCUUGUUGGUGGGGUGAUGGCCUACCAAGGCGGGGACGGGUAGCCGGCCUGAGAGGGUGGACGGUCACACUGGGACUGAGACACGGCACAGACUCCGACGGGAGGCAGCAGUGGGGAAUAUUGCACAAUGGGCGCAAGCCUGAUGCAGCGACGCCGCGUGAGGGAUGGAGGCCUUCGGGUUGUGAACCUCUUUCGCCAGUGAAGCAGGCCUGCCUCGUUUGUGGGUGGGUUGACGGUAGCUGGAUAAGAAGCGCCGGCUAACUACGUG